RNAcentral lists this ribosomal RNA (459 nucleotides) under uncultured bacterium. Its description in RNAcentral is "SSU rRNA". It matches the Rfam family "Bacterial small subunit ribosomal RNA", at positions 26 to 518 of the family's 1533-position model. The record is from RNAcentral.
AGAGCGAACGCUGGCGGCAGGCCUAAUACAUGCAAGUCGAACGGACCCUUCGGGGUUAGUGGCGGACGGGUGAGUAACACGUGGGAACGUGCCCUUUGGUUCGGAACAACUCAGGGAAACUUGAGCUAAUACCGAAUGUGCCCCCUCCUUUGAUUAGGGGGGUGGGAAAGAUUUAUCGCCAUUGGAGCGGCCCGCGUCUGAUUAGCUAGUUGGUGGGGUAAAGGCCCACCAAGGCUACGAUCAGUAGCUGGUCUGAGAGGAUGAUCAGCCACACUGGGACUGAGACACGGCCCAGACUCCUACGGGAGGCAGCAGUAGGGAAUCUUGCGCAAUGGGCGAAAGCCUGACGCAGCCAUGCCGCGUGAAUGAUGAAGGUCUUAGGAUUGUAAAAUUCUUUCAGCGGGACGAUAAUGACGGUACCCGCAGAAGAAGCCCGGCUAACUUCGUGCCAGCAGCCGC